ACGCUCGACACCUACGGGGGCAGCAGUGGGGAAUAUUGCACAAUGGGGGAAACCCUGAUGCAGCGACGCCGCGUGAGCGAAGAAGUAUUUCGGUAUGUAAAGCUCUAUCAGCAGGGAAGAAACUGACGGUACCUGACUAAGAAGCACCGGCUAAAUACGUACNCGCAGCCGCGGUAAUCUGAGCGGGCUGGCAAGGC
RNAcentral lists this ribosomal RNA (197 nucleotides) under uncultured bacterium. RNAcentral describes it as "partial 16S ribosomal RNA". It matches the Rfam family "Bacterial small subunit ribosomal RNA", at positions 328 to 539 of the family's 1533-position model. The record is from RNAcentral.